GAAGUUGUUAUUCCUCUUGCUAGCUUGGCGCUACCGUGGGGGCGUGGAUGUGUAAUAAGAACGGAUUGAGGUAGAAACCCUUUUUAAAGUCUAUGGCUAGACAUUGACAACGUGAGAGACCAACUGUAGGGACAAAUUCGGCAGACGUUGGUCCAAAGUAAAUUUGGUACAUUUUGUCGUUGUUUUGUCUUCCGCUGAGCCCUGGUGCGUAGCCCUGCUGGGCUUUGCAGAACGAAGAUCGGUCUGUGUGUCCACUGUGUGCAGGCAGUGUUUCAGUACAAGCCGCCUCCUAGGGUCAAGGCCCGGGACACAGCUCCAGCUACGCUCGGUGCUAUAUCGACAACACACAAAGAACAGCGAGCUGGCCCAAAACUCACCUGGAGAAAGCGGUGCGGAGUGUCUGACGCCAGGCUGUGGUACAAUGAACUACUGAUAUAGUUUAUGAUGCAAAACAUGUCCACCAAUAUGUGAUGCUUUUCUAUCAAUGUCACCAGCUCACUGUCAAAACCCAUGCCCAGUGUGAUGCUGACACUCAUCUUUGGCUUUCUUAUUGUCAAUAUAAGAAGUAGGCCUAUCCUUUUUUGCGUAUAAUGAAAUAACACAGAAACUAACACAAGGUGUGGCUCCUCAAAAUCAUAUAUACAUGUUUAAUAAAGAGAUUUGACUUGGCACUAAUUUAUCUGUCAGUUAAACUGGGAAAUACACUGUCUGGACAAUUAAAUCCCUUCCUGAUUUAUAUCCGAUCUCCCAAUUUGAAGAUGAGAAGUUUGAAGAAGCAAGUAUUCUAUCAGAGUUCUGCUGUCAACCGAACUUGGUGGACUCUGCUAAACCAGUGCUGCGGAAGGUCAUCCAGAUUUCUGCAGACUGCUUUUUCAGCUGGCACAACUACAUGCACUGGAGAAGGACUUGAUAUCUGCCUGUGAUCUCCUCUGAGUCGGAGCAGAGUAUGCAAGAGUCAUGUGCUUAGAGUAGACAAGAGCUCUGUUUUUACUAAGUAAAGGAAUGCUGUACAGCCUUCUAGAGAGGAUUAAUCCUGAUCACAACUUUCCUGUCAGGACCACAUCGCAGCCUGCAGCCUCCCUGAACACCACCUCAUCCGUUGGACAGACGGUUUCCGCCUCAGAAUGGCCCUGCUACCAGCCUGGCCAGCCUGCUCUGAGAUCAAAACCCCACCCUGUCUGGGAAAAGGAGACACAGAAGAGCAAUUGCUGGGAAAAUGACAUAAAAAAGAUGAACUGAAAACAGGUGAAGCAGCUGAUAAAAGGGUGAGAAGAAGAUGGGGCAUUAUAAUGAAAUUGUGUCAUUUGGCAGGCUUUCAUUCAGGGCAUUCCUUCACCUAUUUGGGGCACUGGGCCAUGACUGGAAUGUAAGAAAUCUAAGUUUGUUUUGGAAAGCAAAAGCAUAAUUUAUUGAACUGAAACACUUUGAAUUGGUUCUAAUAGUUUGUUCUACUAGACCAAAAACAAGUUCUUAAAGAAGAUGAAUACAACUUUCAUACGUGUAUGUAUUGUAAGUAUAAAACUAGCUUAGCUUACUUGGCACAAAGACUGGAAACAGGGACUCCACAGGGAACCUUUAAGUUCAGCUGAUUUGUCCCACUCAUUUAGCUUAUGUGUUCACUCUUUCUUUCUCGACCAUCAUGGAGGUACUGUUAUUUUGGAUGACAUGAAAUAGAAAUGUUCAGAGAACAUUAAAGAUUAAAUAAUCUUAAAUUACUGUUGAAUUUAAACCAUCCAUUGGCCAAAUGUCAAAUGUGACUCAGUGUAUUCUUGCACAUGAACUCAAUAUCUGUCACUGUUUGGCUAUAUUCUGACACACAGUAUUAGUUAGGAUACAUUUGGAUAUACAGUAUACUAUAUAUCUGUAAUGAUCUUAAUGUAGCAUAGUGGUAUGUUCGGUAUGUACUUGGCAGCUGCAUGUAGUUUAUUAACUGAAGAGGAACAAAUAUGAGCAUUCAUGAGAUUAAAGACAAUUUAAGAUUAUAUUAGAUUUUGCUAGACCCUGGAACCAGUUGACCAUUUAAUAGUCAGGCAUUUAAGCAUUUAUUAAUGUUUUGAAGGCAUUGAAAGUGUACUUUAAAUGUGUUUUGAGACGUUGAUGCAUCAAAAAAGUAUUUGGAUAAUUUUUGGACACUGCAAUUCAGUUGACUUGCUGCCUGACCUUUGGAUUUUUGCCCUUUCACUCUCACUGGGGUGGUGUAUGUUUAUAUGCUGUGCACAUUUUGUGUGGAGUCAAGAAACCAGUAAUAAUUAGAUGUAUGAUAUAUGUGUUUUAUGAUGAAACAUAUAUUUUUUUAAUCUUUUUGGAAUCAUUUUUUUUCUCAUUGUUUUACUCAUGUCUUCCAGAUGAUGGCGGUAUAAAUCUGUAUUUAAAUACCUUAUUUAUUUAAUGUUACUUUUCACUAUACCAGAUGCAGUUGUUGUUGUUUGCUGAUUACCGUUUGAUUUAUUAUCAAAUAACUGGUAGGACUGUCGAUUCAGUCCCACUAAUGUAGGAAUGGUGUAUUUUUAGUUUUCUCUAUGAAGACAUUUAUUUUACAGAUUUGUGCGCUGGUAGUUUCAAAAUAAACUGCUGAGUUUGGUAUUUUGCAAAGUAAUUACUGCAAUAAAACCUAUGUUAUGGAUACCA
This is a long non-coding RNA of Perca fluviatilis (European perch), 2628 nucleotides long. RefSeq lists it as uncharacterized. The transcript is spliced from 7 exons. NCBI's taxonomy places the organism in Eukaryota, Metazoa, Chordata, Actinopteri, Perciformes, Percidae. The record is from RefSeq and is a predicted model, not a curated record.